RNAcentral lists this ribosomal RNA (505 nucleotides) under uncultured bacterium. RNAcentral describes it as "partial 16S ribosomal RNA". It matches the Rfam family "Bacterial small subunit ribosomal RNA", at positions 28 to 507 of the family's 1533-position model. The record is from RNAcentral.
GACGAACGCUGGCGGCGUGCCUAAUACAUGCAAGUAGAACGCACAGUUUAUACCGUAGCUUGCUACACCAUAGACUGUGAGUUGCGAACGGGUGAGUAACGCGUAGGUAACCUGCCUGGUAGCGGGGGAUAACUAUUGGAAACGAUAGCUAAUACCGCAUAAUAUUAAUUAUUGCAUGAUAAUUAAUUGAAAGGUGCAAUUGCACCACUACCAGAUGGACCUGCGUUGUAUUAGCUAGUAGGUGAGGUAACGGCUCACCUAGGCGACGAUACAUAGCCGACCUGAGAGGGUGAUCGGCCACACUGGGACUGAGACACGGCCCAGACUCCUACGGGAGGCAGCAGUAGGGAAUCUUCGGCAAUGGACGAAAGUCUGACCGAGCAACGCCGCGUGAGUGAAGAAGGUUUUCGGAUCGUAAAGCUCUGUUGUAAGAGAAGAACGGGUGUGAGAGUGGAAAGUUCACACUGUGACGGUAUCUUACCAGAAAGAGACGGCUAAUUACGUG